GACGUAGGUGGCGAACGUUAUCCGGAAUCAUUGGGCGUAAAGGGUGCGUAGAUGGCAUGAUAAGUUAUUAGUGGGAAAUCGAGGCUCAACCUCGUGGAAGCUAGUAAUACUGUUUUUGCUUGAGUACAGAAGAGGUUAACGGAACUCCAUGUGGAGCGGUAAAAUGCGUAGAUAUAAUGGAAGAACACCAAUAACGGCGAAGGCAGUUAACUAUUCUGUUACUGACAUUGAGGCACGAAAGCGUGGGGAGCAAAACGG
Molecule: ribosomal RNA, 258 nt
Filed under: uncultured bacterium
Lineage: Bacteria
Description: partial 16S ribosomal RNA
Rfam family: Bacterial small subunit ribosomal RNA
Source: RNAcentral